CAGAGUUUGACAUGGCUCAGAUUGAACGCUGGCGGCAGGCCUAACACAUGCAAGUCGAGCGGAAACGACACUAACAAUCCUUCGGGUGCGUUAAUGGGCGUCGAGCGGCGGACGGGUGAGUAAUGCCUAGGAAAUUGCCUUGAUGUGGGGGAUAACCAUUGGAAACGAUGGCUAAUACCGCAUAAUGCCUACGGGCCAAAGAGGGGGACCUUCGGGCCUCUCGCGUCAAGAUAUGCCUAGGUGGGAUUAGCUAGUUGGUGAGGUAAUGGCUCACCAAGGCGACGAUCCCUAGCUGGUCUGAGAGGAUGAUCAGCCACCCUGAAAGC
This 326-nucleotide ribosomal RNA is filed under the name uncultured Vibrio sp. Its description in RNAcentral is "bacterial SSU rRNA". It matches the Rfam family "Bacterial small subunit ribosomal RNA", at positions 8 to 320 of the family's 1533-position model. Lineage: Bacteria; Pseudomonadati; Pseudomonadota; Gammaproteobacteria; Vibrionales; Vibrionaceae. The record is from RNAcentral.